GUGAUUCGGGGUGCAGCAGGCGCGAAACCUUUUCAAUGCGCGCAAGCGUGAGAAGGGAAUUCCGAGUGCUUAAGUUUUACUUAGGCUUUUGCUAAGUGUAAAAAGCUUGGCGAAUAAGGGGUGGGUAAGACUGGUGCCAGCCGCCGCGGUAACACCAGCGCCUCGAGUGGGGAUCGCGAUUAUUGGGCCUAAAGCGUCCGUAGCAGGCUUUGUAGAUCCUUUGUGAAAUGGGCAGGCUUAACCUGUCCGCGGGCAGAGGAGACCGCAGAGCUCGAGACCGGGAGAGGUCAGAAGUAUUCCUAGGGUACCGGUAAAAUGGGUUAAUCCUGGGAGGACUACCAAUGGCGAAGGCAUCUGACCAGAACGGUUCUGACUGUGAGGGACGAAAGCUAGGGGAGCAAAACGGAUUAGAUACCCGAGUAGUCCUAGCCGUAAACGCUGCGAGCAAGGUAUUGCGCCUCCCAUGAGGAUGCGCAGUGUCGAAGAGAAGUCGUUAAGCUCGCCGCCAGGGAAGUACGGUCGCAAGGCUGAAACUUUAAGGAAUUGGCGGGGGAGCACAAUCGAAU
RNAcentral lists this ribosomal RNA (566 nucleotides) under uncultured archaeon. Its description in RNAcentral is "bacterial SSU rRNA". It matches the Rfam family "Archaeal small subunit ribosomal RNA", at positions 317 to 889 of the family's 1478-position model. The record is from RNAcentral.